RNAcentral lists this ribosomal RNA (458 nucleotides) under Zygoascus hellenicus. Its description in RNAcentral is "eukaryotic LSU rRNA". It matches the Rfam family "Eukaryotic large subunit ribosomal RNA", at positions 120 to 582 of the family's 3401-position model. The record is from RNAcentral. Lineage: Eukaryota; Fungi; Ascomycota; Dipodascomycetes; Dipodascales; Trichomonascaceae.
AUCUGGUACUUUCAGUAUCCGAGUUGUAAUUUGUAGAAGCAACUUUGGUGAUGGUCUUUGCAUAAGUUCCUUGGAAUAGGACGUCAUAGAGGGUGAGAAUCCCGUUUAUGGUGAAGAACCCACACUAUGUAAAGUGCUUUCGAAGAGUCGAGUUGUUUGGGAAUGCAGCUCAAAGUGGGUGGUAAAUUCCAUCUAAAGCUAAAUAUUGGCGAGAGACCGAUAGCGAACAAGUACUGUGAAGGAAAGAUGAAAAGAACUUUGAAAAGAGAGUGAAAAAGUACGUGAAAUUGUUGAAAGGGAAGGGAUCUAAAUCAGACAUGGUAUUUUGUGAUCAACAGUCUUUCGGGACUGUGCACUCGCAUUUUACUAGGCCAGCAUCGGUUAGAAGGGGGUAAAAAAGAUUUUGGAAUGUGGCUCCUCGGAGUGUUAUAGCCAAGGUUAAUUGCCCCAUUUCUGAC